RNAcentral lists this ribosomal RNA (1662 nucleotides) under feces metagenome. RNAcentral describes it as "bacterial LSU rRNA". It matches the Rfam family "Bacterial large subunit ribosomal RNA", at positions 381 to 2045 of the family's 2925-position model. The record is from RNAcentral.
GAAAUUUUGAGUGUGGAACUAAGCGUAAGAAACGUAGGGCGGGACACGUGAAAUCCUGUUUGAAGAUGGGGGGACCAUCCUCCAAGGCUAAAUACUCGUGAUCGACCGAUAGUGAACCAGUACCGUGAGGGAAAGGCGAAAAGAACCCCGGAAGGGGAGUGAAAUAGAUCCUGAAACCGUAUGCAUACAAACAGUAGGAGCCUCCUUGUGGGGUGACUGCGUACCUUUUGUAUAAUGGGUCAGCGACUUACAUUCAGUGGCAAGGUUAACCGAAUAGGGAAGCCGUAGCGAAAGCGAGUCCGAAUAGGGCGAUUCAGUCGCUGGGUGUAGACCCGAAACCAGAUGAUCUAUCCAUGGCCAGGUUGAAGGCACGGUAACACGUGCUGGAGGACCGAACCCACUAAUGUUGAAAAAUUAGGGGAUGAGCUGUGGAUAGGGGUGAAAGGCUAAACAAAUCUGGAAAUAGCUGGUUCUCUCCGAAAACUAUUUAGGUAGUGCCUCAAGUAUUACUGCGGGGGGUAGAGCACUGUUAUAGCUAGGGGGUCAUGGCGACUUACCAAACUAUGGCAAACUCCGAAUACCCGCAAGUACAGCUUGGGAGACAGAGCACCGGGUGCUAACGUCCGGACUCAAGAGGGAAACAACCCAGACCGCCAGCUAAGGUCCCAAAUUAUCGCUAAGUGGGAAACGAAGUGGGAAGGCAUAGACAGUCAGGAGGUUGGCUUAGAAGCAGCCAUCCUUUAAAGAAAGCGUAAUAGCUCACUGAUCGAGUCGUCCUGCGCGGAAGAUGUAACGGGGCUAAGCGAUAAACCGAAGCUGCGGGUGUGCACUUUUAGUGCACGCGGUAGGAGAGCGUUCUGUAAGCCUGCGAAGGUGGCUUGUAAAGGCUGCUGGAGGUAUCAGAAGUGCGAAUGCUGACAUGAGUAGCGAUAAAGGGGGUGAAAAGCCCCCUCGCCGUAAGUCCAAGGUUUCCUGCGCAACGUUCAUCGGCGCAGGGUGAGUCGGCCCCUAAGGCGAGGCAGAGAUGCGUAGCUGAUGGGAAGCUGGUUAAUAUUCCAGCACCGUCGUACAGUGCGAUGGGGGGACGGAUCGCGGAAGAUCAUCAGGGUGUUGGAUGUCCCUGUUGCUGCAUCGAAGAUGGCGCUUAGGCAAAUCCGGGCGCGUAAAUCAAGGGUGUGGCACGAGCGAGCAUUGCUUGCGAAGUGAUUGGAAGUGGUUCCAAGAAAAGCCUCUAAGCUUCAGCUGUACGAGACCGUACCGCAAACCGACACAGGUGGACGGGAUGAAUAUUCCAAGGCGCUUGAGAGAACUCAGGAGAAGGAACUCGGCAAAUUGAUACCGUAACUUCGGGAGAAGGUAUACCCCGGUAGUGUGAAGCGCCUGCGCGCUUAGCAUGAUGGGGUCGCAGAGAAUCGGUGGCUGCGACUGUUUAUUAAAAACACAGCACUCUGCAAAGACGAAAGUCGACGUAUAGGGUGUGACGCCUGCCCGGUGCCGGAAGGUUAAGUGAUGGGGUGCAAGCUCUUGAUCGAAGCCCCGGUAAACGGCGGCCGUAACUAUAACGGUCCUAAGGUAGCGAAAUUCCUUGUCGGGUAAGUUCCGACCUGCACGAAUGGCGUAACGAUGGCCACACUGUCUCCUCCUGAGACUCAGCGAAGUUGA